RNAcentral lists this transfer RNA (71 nucleotides) under Scopelengys tristis (Pacific blackchin). RNAcentral's name for it is "tRNA-Gln". It matches the Rfam family "tRNA". From Rfam's summary of the family: Transfer RNA (tRNA) molecules are approximately 80 nucleotides in length. Their secondary structure includes four short double-helical elements and three loops (D, anti-codon, and T loops). Lineage: Eukaryota; Metazoa; Chordata; Actinopteri; Myctophiformes; Neoscopelidae. The record is from RNAcentral.
UAGAAGGUGGUGUAGUGGGAGCACAAAGAGUUUUGAUCUCUUAAGUUUGGGUUCGAGCCCCUUCUUUCUAA